AAGGGAAAAAAACAAAUAUUUCUAAAAAUAAAUUUUGAUACAUUUCAAAUCGAGUUUACAAAGCAAUUUUGACCAGAUGCAUUAUAAAACCCAUGAAUCAGAAAAUCAGUUACAUUUUGCAAUCAAUUUGACCUAAAAAAGUUUCCUAAUCUAAAUCAAAUCCUAAGCUAUAUAAACCUAAGACUAAAAAUUGAAAGCGGACAAAAUGUUUUUUUUAAAAAAAUCUAAGAGCAAUACACAACAACACCAAAUCUCCCUCACUAGAGCUCCAAAUUUAUGAUACUUAGGGAUUUCACAUUGAAACCCUAAGUGUUCGAGUUAAGCCUUUAUCCUUUGCCUGCAAAAUAGAAAGAGAGGGAGAUCAGAGAGAGACAGAGAAAGCAAAAAUAACAAAGGCUAAAGAGGAGGAGAGGGACCCAACUUAAAACAGUCAUUGUAGGAAUCAAUUGGUAGCCUCGCCCUUUUAUUCUUAACUAGAACAUGUGAUUCUAUGUUUAUGUUUUUUAUUUUUAUUAUACUGCUAAGGGUCGAGUAUUUUUUUAGGUUGUGUUGGAUUUAGUUGAGGUUUGAGGUUAAACAUAAGGGGUCAUAGAUUUUAGGGUUUGAGAUUGAAGUUUGAUCUUUGUUUAAGGGGGGGAGUUAUGUUCGAGGGUUGUUGGUAUAUGAAUUAGGGGUGUUGUUCAUGGUUGUUGGGAAAUUUUUAGGGUUCUUCCUGAAGGUUAGGGUUCAUCUGCAAAAGGUUAGGGUUUUUGGAAAUUUGGGUUAGGGUUCUUAAAUUUGGUUGAAAGGUUCUAGUGAAUCUUCAUCGGAAACCAUACAUAUAUGUUGGUUUAUCGGGUGGUUUGUGGUUUGAGGGG
Molecule: long non-coding RNA, 857 nt
Filed under: Lathyrus oleraceus (garden pea)
Lineage: Eukaryota; Viridiplantae; Streptophyta; Magnoliopsida; Fabales; Fabaceae
Description: Pisum sativum (pea) long non-coding RNA (PSAT_LNC008582)
Source: RNAcentral